Molecule: ribosomal RNA, 493 nt
Filed under: uncultured bacterium
Lineage: Bacteria
Description: SSU rRNA
Rfam family: Bacterial small subunit ribosomal RNA
Source: RNAcentral
AGAACGAACGCUGGCGGCGUGGAUAAGACAUGCAAGUCGAACGCGACUUAUUUUGUUAGCAAUAACAGAGUAAGUUGAGUGGCGAAAGGGUGCGUAACACGUGGGAAUUUACCAAGAAGUGGGGAAUAGCUCGACGAAAGUCGAAUUAAUACCGCAUGUGAUCGAAAGAUCAAAGUCGGGGACCGCAAGGCCUGACGCUUUUUGAGAAGCCCGCGGCCCAUCAGCUAGUUGGUGAGGUAAUGGCUCACCAAGGCUAUGACGGGUAGCUGGUCUGAGAGGACGACCAGCCACACUGGAACUGAGACACGGUCCAGACACCUACGGGUGGCAGCAGUCGAGAAUUUUUUCACAAUGGACGAAAGUCUGAUGGAGCGACGCCGCGUGGAGGAUGAAGGUUCUUGGAUUGUAAACUCCUGUCACUGCAGAACAAGGGUGCGCUCGUUAAUAGCAAGCGCAUUGAUGGUAUGCGGAGGAGGGAAGGGACGGCUAACUC